CUAAAGAUACUGCCCCGGUUAACGGGGAGGAAGGUGGGGAUGACGUCAAGUCCUCAUGGCCUUUAUGCCCAGGGCUACACACGUGCUACAAUGGGCGGUACAAAGGGUAGCGAUCCCGCGAGGAGGAGCCAAUCCCAAAAAACCGUCCCAAGUUCGGAUUGGAGUCUGCAACUCGACUCCAUGAAGUUGGAAUCGCUAGUAAUCGCGGAUCAGCAUGCCGCGGUGAAUACGUUCCCGGGCCUU
RNAcentral lists this ribosomal RNA (243 nucleotides) under uncultured Desulfobacterium sp. Its description in RNAcentral is "partial 16S ribosomal RNA". It matches the Rfam family "Bacterial small subunit ribosomal RNA", at positions 1140 to 1382 of the family's 1533-position model. The record is from RNAcentral. Lineage: Bacteria; Pseudomonadati; Thermodesulfobacteriota; Desulfobacteria; Desulfobacterales; Desulfobacteriaceae.